AUGUAGUUUUGGGAGGUAACUUCGGGCA
This 28-nucleotide non-coding RNA is filed under the name Cricetulus griseus (Chinese hamster). Lineage: Eukaryota; Metazoa; Chordata; Mammalia; Rodentia; Cricetidae. The record is from RNAcentral.